This 506-nucleotide long non-coding RNA is filed under the name Prunus persica (peach). RNAcentral's name for it is "long non-coding RNA (PPER_LNC004023)". Lineage: Eukaryota; Viridiplantae; Streptophyta; Magnoliopsida; Rosales; Rosaceae. The record is from RNAcentral.
UGGGCUCCAUCUGUCCCAUUAAGUUCCUAAAAAUUUAAUUAACUGGUUCGUGAUUAAAUUUCAAAGAAUUCAAGCUUGUUUACUUGUUUGUGGAAUUUCAUGAAAUUUGAAUACUUCAAUAAACUUGUGCAAAUGGAAAUUCUUACCUUUUUCGAGUCUUAAUUUCCACUGCUGGUAAGUUAUUUUGACAAGAUUUCCUUUUGCAUUUUGCAGGCUGAAGAAAGAUGCCACCCGAAGUGUUUGAUAUUUACAAAGGCAACAAGUUCAUCCAAGGAUCUAGCUAGUGAAGUGUUUGAUAUGUCUGAAUGGGGCUGCUUAAACUUACUAGUUGUGUAAGUCUUUUGCUUCCUUCCCAUAUGGCUUCCCAAUUCCACUGGCAUCGGGUUGAUAUUUGUAUGUCCCUUUACUACGGCAUCUGGUUGACUCUCAUUUUGCAAUUAAAUGCAUGCAAAGACAUCUCUAAUUGAAAAAAAGAUCAAUUCAAUUCUCAACUGAUCAUAUAUCAC